RNAcentral lists this ribosomal RNA (537 nucleotides) under uncultured Campylobacter sp. Its description in RNAcentral is "bacterial SSU rRNA". It matches the Rfam family "Bacterial small subunit ribosomal RNA", at positions 602 to 1134 of the family's 1533-position model. Lineage: Bacteria; Pseudomonadati; Campylobacterota; Epsilonproteobacteria; Campylobacterales; Campylobacteraceae. The record is from RNAcentral.
CUAUGGCUUAACCAUAGAACUGCUUGGGAAACUGAUAAUCUAGAGUGAGGGAGAGGCAGAUGGAAUUGGUGGUGUAGGGGUAAAAUCCGUAGAGAUCACCAGGAAUACCCAUUGCGAAGGCGAUCUGCUGGAACUCAACUGACGCUAAUGCGUGAAAGCGUGGGGAGCAAACAGGAUUAGAUACCCUGGUAGUCCACGCCCUAAACGAUGUAUACUAGUUGUUGCUAAGCUAGUCUUGGCAGUAAUGCACCUAACGGAUUAAGUAUACCGCCUGGGGAGUACGGUCGCAAGAUUAAAACUCAAAGGAAUAGACGGGGACCCGCACAAGCGGUGGAGCAUGUGGUUUAAUUCGAAGAUACGCGAAGAACCUUACCCGGACUUGAUAUCUAACAAAUCAUCUAGAGAUAGAAGAGUGUCUGCUUGCAGAAAUGUUAAGACAGGUGCUGCACGGCUGUCGUCAGCUCGUGUCGUGAGAUGUUGGGUUAAGUCCCGCAACGAGCGCAACCCACGUCAUUAGUUGCUAAACAGUUCAGCUGA